Molecule: ribosomal RNA, 465 nt
Filed under: uncultured bacterium
Lineage: Bacteria
Description: partial 16S ribosomal RNA
Rfam family: Bacterial small subunit ribosomal RNA
Source: RNAcentral
GACGAACGCUGGCGGCGUGCUUAACACAUGCAAGUCGAACGGAAAGGCCCUGCUUGCAGGGUACUCGAGUGGCGAACGGGUGAGUAACACGUGGGUGAUCUGCCCUUCACUUCGGGAUAAGCCUGGGAAACUGGGUCUAAUACCGGAUAGGAGCCAUUUUUAGUGUGAUGGUUGGAAAGUUUUUUCGGUGUAGGAUGAGCUCGCGGCCUAUCAGCUUGUUGGUGGGGUAAUGGCCUACCAAGGCGGCGACGGGUAGCCGGCCUGAGAGGGUGGACGGCCACAUUGGGACUGAGAUACGGCCCAGACUCCUACGGGAGGCAGAAGUGGGGAAGAUUGCACAAUGGGCGCAAGCCUGAUGCAGCGACGCCGCGUGGGGGAUGACGGCCUUCGGGUUGUAAACUCCUUUCGCUAGGGACGAAGCUUUUUGUGACGGUACCUAGAUAAGAAGCACCGGCUAACUACGUG